UGGCUGUGAUGACACAAAGGCCGGACUUACGGCUGCCACCGCUUCUUGAGAUGGCAGUAGGGUGAUGUUUUGUUGCGAUAAGGUGUUUGUGUUGAGCCAC
This is a small nucleolar RNA of Hibiscus syriacus, 100 nucleotides long. RefSeq annotates it as small nucleolar RNA snoR113. The record is from RefSeq and is a predicted model, not a curated record. NCBI's taxonomy places the organism in Eukaryota, Viridiplantae, Streptophyta, Magnoliopsida, Malvales, Malvaceae. The transcript has a single exon.